Molecule: non-coding RNA, 45 nt
Filed under: Schistosoma haematobium
Lineage: Eukaryota; Metazoa; Platyhelminthes; Trematoda; Strigeidida; Schistosomatidae
Source: RNAcentral
AUUCGUCCGAUGAGUCUCAAAUAGAACGAAACGCGCGUCUUGAAU